Long non-coding RNA from Hyaena hyaena (striped hyena), 1928 nucleotides. RefSeq lists it as uncharacterized. The transcript has 3 exons. NCBI's taxonomy places the organism in Eukaryota, Metazoa, Chordata, Mammalia, Carnivora, Hyaenidae. The record is from RefSeq and is a predicted model, not a curated record.
AAGAAGACUCUGAUUGUCAAAGCAAGAGAGAUUUGAAGGCUGGGUUAGGAGAAACCACCACAGAGACUCUAGUACCUGAAUAAGACAUCUCUGAAGCUCAAAGACUUUGUAUUUGCAAGUUGGAGACUUUCCCUCCGUUCGUUCUUUUACAGAUGACUGAACAUGGCAUCUCAACUAUAGAAAUAUGGUGCCCACCAAGGGAGUCUACACCAGCUCUCCACAUGUGCAGAUAACGGGCCAGGAACCACCUCCUCUUCCAUAACCCUUAAGGAGCCAUUUUUCUGCAAAGGUUCAGAAGUUUUAAGAAGGCAUGACAGAUUGAUCCCUAAUUUAUCAGUUUGUUAUACUGAGAGUCCAAAUCUACUGAACAGCAGGAUUAAAAGCCAGAUACUGAGUGUCUUCUCACCAGUGAAAUCAUGUGGUCUUAUCUGUGGGGAAAUAAAGAGGAUCUCUUUGAAGUGUCCGUGCCCAUCAGUGGAUGGAAGCAGCAUGAAACCAUUUUACCUUCUGGGAUGGCCAGUUUUUUUGGUAUCAGUUUGAUGGGGCCACUGGAGUGCCCACAUUAGGUAUGACUUUGGGUGUGUCUGGAAGAUAUUAGGACUCUGUAAAUUACAGUUGAUGGCCACCCCUCCUGUAGGUGAGUAUCCUCCAAUCCAUGGAGUGCCUGACUAGAGCGAUGGCCUGACUUGCAUGUCUGCCUCCUGAGCUGGGGAACAUCUCAGCUCAGCUCAGUUCAUCUUGUUCUUGGACUGGAAUUCAUACCAUCAGCUCUCCUGGUUGUCAGCCUUUCCAAUUCAGACUGGAAUCACACCACCCACUUUCUUGGGGGUCCAAUUUGCAAACUCGGAUCGUGGGUCUUCCCAGCCUCCUUAAUCCCAUGAACCAAUUUCUCACCAUAAAGCUCUCAAUAUACAUAUUCUUUCCAAGGGUGUGGCUAGCUUACUACGGAGCAUUGGAACUAUCUACACACAUCAAAUACAGAGGUGCUUAAUUCAUCCACCAUGUGUGAUGCACUGUGCUGGUAGAUCGAAUACAGUGAUGAACUCAAUCCAGCCUAAGCCUUACAGGAGCUCACAGUCCCAAGAAAGAAAGAAGUGGGGGAAUCAGGGCAAUCACAGCACCUGGAUAAGGGAGGCUAUGGCAGGAGGAAUAUAUAGGGUGCUAAAAGAGUAAGGAAGAGGAACCCUUAAUGCUUUUUUGGAGGAAGGAAACUCUCAGAAGGCUUCCUGGAAGAGGGGACCCACGACACAAAGUGUUGAUGAAUGAAAAGCAUUUUGCCACAGUAAGGAGGAAGAGAGCUAGGCUAAACACCUCACGUGUGAGGGCCUCUGUGCAUAUAAGCGUGGCACAUUCAGCGACCUGUAAACAGUUGUCAAUGACAAUAGCGCAGUGUCAGUGAACAGGUGGAGAAAGAAAAAAGUUCGACUUAUGAAGGACCUUGUGUUCAUUCACGUGUGUAGAAUUCACCUGAAAGUAAAGGCAACAACUGGAAGGCUCAGAGCCUGCAUGUUGUAACUGGCUACAUGCUUAGAAAUGGCUCCCAGUCAUAGUAUGAAGGUCAGCGUUGGCUGCCUGUGAAGACUUUCCUUGGGAGUGACCAAUGGCAGCUGAGAGCCAUGCUGGGACAGGCUCAGCCUUGCUGGACACAUGAGGCAAGGACAAGGAGCCAGGUGUGCAGGUAUUGAUUGAGGGAUGAGACAAAAGAUGGCCCAUUGGAAGCUGCCAGGAGUAGAAGAACCUACAGAGGAGAAUGAAUUAGUGAAUAAUAAAUGGUGAUGGAAAACAGGGACCAGACAUCUUGAUGAGACAAAAGAAGGAUGGUCAGAACCAAUAAAUGCAAGGAUCAAGGCUGGGAAGGAAUGAUCUAUAACUUUCUUAAAGUUGAGUUUCAGCGGCACUUGGGUGGCUCAGGCAAUCAUGUGUCUGAU